UCAAGCAAGGAAGGGCGCAGGGAGGAUGCCUGGCCACACUGUACUGAAGAAGGACGUGCCAAACAGCGAAAUGCGACGGUGAGCCGUAAGGAGGCAAAGACCCGUCGGUGUCCGAAUGGGGGAACCCGGCAGCCGGAAGGCUGUCAUCCCGAAAGGGAGAGGUACCCGGGGAACUGAAACAUCUAAGUACCCGGAGGAAAAGAAAACAACAGUGAUUCCCCGAGUAGCGGCGAGCGAAAGGGGAGAAAGCCCAAACCGGAGAGAUCCGGGGUAGUAGGACCGUCAUAAGAGUGGGAAAGACACAGCAGAAUGUACAGGGAAGUACAGCCAGAGAGAGUGAAAGCCUCGUAAGCGAAGUGUGUGACGCAUGAGACGGGAUCCUGAGUACGGCGGGACACGAGAAAUCUUGUCGGAAGCAGGCGGGACCAUCCGCCAAGGCAAAAUAUACAGUGUGAGCGAUAGAGAACGAGUACCGUGAGGGAAAGGUGAAAAGAACCGCGGGAGCGGAGUGAAAGAGAACCUGAAACCGUGUGCCUAAAAGAAGUCAGAGCCCGUCAAAGGGUGAUGGCGUGCCUUUUGUAGAAUGAACCGGCGAGUUGUUCCAUGGUGCGAGGUUAAGUCGGAAAGGACGGAGCCGAAGCGAAAGCGAGUCUUAAGAGGGCGUUAAGAGUAGUAUGGAGCAGACCCGAAACCGGGUGAUCUAGCCAUGGGCAGGUUGAAGCAGAAGUGAAAUUCUGUGGAGGACCGAACCGACUACCGUUGAAAAGUUAGCGGAUGACCUGUGGCUAGGGGAGAAAUUCCAAUCGAACCCGGAGAUAGCUGGUUCUCCCCGAAAUAGCUUUAGGGCUAGCGUCGGAGGAUGACAGACGGAGGUAGAGCACUGAACGCAUGAUGGCCCCAUCCCGGGGUACUGAAUGCGAUCAAACUGCGAAUGCCGACUGGGAGGAAUCCGGCAGUGAGACUGUGGGUGAUAAGGUCCAUGGUCGAGAGGGAAAGAGCCCAGACCGCCAGCAAAGGUCCCAAAAUACUGGCUAAGUGGAAAAGGAUGUGGGGACGCACGGACAGCUAGGAGGUUGGCUCAGAAGCAGCCAUCCUUGAAAGAGUGCGUAACAGCUCACUAGUCGAGUGGCCCUGCGCCGAAAAUGUACCGGGGCUUAAGCCAGGUACCGAAGCUGCGGAUGUAUAUGGAAGUAUAUGUGGUAGGGGAGCGUUGCAUGCAGGAAGAAGUAUGACGGAGACGGCAUAUGGACAGCAUGGAAGAGAGAAUGCCGGUGUGAGUAGCGAGAUGCAGGUGAGAAUCCUGCACACCGAAAGCCCAAGGAUUCCAGGGGAAGGUUCGUCCGCCCUGGGUAAGUCGGGACCUAACGUGAGGCCGAAAGGCGCAGCGGAUGGAAAGCAGGCGGAGAUUCCUGCACCCGUAUAUGGAGCGAAGGAGUGACGGAGAAGGCAGAUGCGACCCUCUUACUGGAUUGAGGGCCAAGCGAAGCAGGUGGUAUCCAGGCAAAUCCGGAUACGGAAACCAGAGCGUGACGGGUAAGCGAAAGCGGAAAGCGAGUAGCGAAGCGCAUCGAGUCAGCUUCCAGGAAAAGCUUCUAGUGGAAAUGCAUAUACGGCCCGUACCAAAACCGACACAGGUGGGCGCGCAGAGGAUGCGAAGGUGAGCGAGAGAACUGUUGCCAAGGAACUCGGCAAAAUGGCCCCGUACGUUCGCAAGAAGGGGCGCUCGAAAGAGCCGCAGUGAAAAGGCCCAAGCGACUGUUUAACUAAAACACAGCUCCCUGCGAAGCCGCAAGGCGAAGUAUAGGGGGUGACACCUGCCCGGUGCUGGAAGGUUAAGGCAAGCUGUCAACCGCGAGGUGAAGCAGUGACCCGAAGCCCCAGUGAACGGCGGCCGUAACUAUAACGGUCCUAAGGUAGCGAAAUUCCUUGUCAGGUAAG
RNAcentral lists this ribosomal RNA (1938 nucleotides) under mouse gut metagenome. Its description in RNAcentral is "bacterial LSU rRNA". It matches the Rfam family "Bacterial large subunit ribosomal RNA", at positions 3 to 1980 of the family's 2925-position model. The record is from RNAcentral.